This 506-nucleotide ribosomal RNA is filed under the name uncultured bacterium. RNAcentral's name for it is "partial 16S ribosomal RNA". It matches the Rfam family "Bacterial small subunit ribosomal RNA", at positions 29 to 523 of the family's 1533-position model. The record is from RNAcentral.
AGUGAACGCUGGCGGUAGGCCUAACUCAUGCAAGUCGAACGGCAGCACAGGAGAGCUUGCUCUCUGGGUGGCGAGUGGCGGACGGGUGAGGAAUACAUCGGAAUCUACUCUGUCGUGGGGGAUAACGUAGGGAAACUUACGCUAAUACCGCAUACGACCUACGGGUGAAAGCAGGGGAUCUUCGGACCUUGCGCGAUUGAAUGAGCCGAUGUCGGAUUAGCUAGUUGGCGGGGUAAAGGCCCACCAAGGCGACGAUACGUAGCUGGUCUGAGAGGAUGAUCAGCCACACUGGAACUGAGACACGGUCCAGACUCAUACGGGAGGCAGCAGUGGGGAAUAUUGGACAAUGGGCGCAAGCCUGAUCCAGCCAUACCGCGUGAGUGAAGAAGGCCUUCGGGUUGUAAAGCCCUUUUGUUGGGAAAGAAAUCCAGCUGGCGAAUACCCGGUUGGGAUGACGGUACCCAAAGAAUAAGCACCGGCUAACUUCGUGCCAGCCGCCGCCGUAA